Molecule: ribosomal RNA, 415 nt
Filed under: uncultured bacterium
Lineage: Bacteria
Description: bacterial SSU rRNA
Rfam family: Bacterial small subunit ribosomal RNA
Source: RNAcentral
GGACGCUUUUGGGGCUUCGGCCUCAAGGGAGUGGCGGACGGGUGAGUAGCGCGUGGGAACCUGCCUUGGAGUGGGGGAUAACCGAGGGAAACUUCGGCUAAUACCGCAUGCGCCCCGGCGCGAGCCGGGGGAAAGAUUGAUCGCUCUAAGAGGGGCCCGCGUCGGAUUAGGUAGUUGGUGGGGUAACGGCCUACCAAGCCUGUGAUCCGUAGCUGGUCUGAGAGGAUGAUCAGCCACACUGGGACUGAGACACGGCCCAGACUCCUACGGGAGGCAGCAGUGGGGAAUAUUGGACAAUGGGCGCAAGCCUGAUCCAGCAAUGCCGCGUGAGUGAUGAAGGCCUUAGGGUUGUAAAGCUCUUUCGGCGGGGACGAUGAUGACGGUACCCGCAGAAGAAGCCCCGGCUAACUUCGUG